AUGUUCACUGCCGCGUCCAUUGGUGGAUUUAGAUUUCGCGGCUUCGCGCAACGUCCGGCUAUCGGAACUAGGGGAGGCAUCCUAUUGCUUUGGGAUGAGAACCUUCUUGAUGUCAAUGACAUUGUCGCAACCAACUACUGUUUGUCAGCCUCUGUGCGAACUCGUUCAUCCGGAAUCUGCUUCAAGGCAACAACUGUCUAUGGCCCCACGGACCAGGCUAGCAAAGAUGCUUUCUUUGCGGAGAUCAUCGCCCACAAGCCGUUGCAGGAUAUGGCAUGGCUUGUCCUAGGGGACUUCAACCAGAUUUACCGAGCUAGAGACAAAAAUAAAAGGAACGUGAAUCGUAGUAGGAUCAACCGCUUCCGGUCUGCGUUGCAAACCUGCGAACUCAAGGAAAUCCACCUCCAGAAUCGGCGUUUUACGUGGAGCAAUGAGCGUAAUAACCCAACGCUAUGCAAGCUCGACUCAUUCUUCUGCAAUGCCGAGUGGGACACCACUUUCAACACUCAUGUCCUCCAUGCCCUGUCGUCCUCCCUCUCCGACCACUGCCCCUUACUGCUAGCUGAUGACAAGGGGCCAAGACGGCCUCGA
This 591-nucleotide ribosomal RNA is filed under the name Triticum aestivum (bread wheat). RNAcentral's name for it is "partial small subunit ribosomal RNA". Lineage: Eukaryota; Viridiplantae; Streptophyta; Magnoliopsida; Poales; Poaceae. The record is from RNAcentral.